GCCCAAGUGGCGGAAUGGUAGACGCAGGGGAUUCAAAAUCCCCCGGUAGUGAUACCGUGCCGGUUCGAGUCCGGCCUUGGGUACCA
RNAcentral lists this transfer RNA (86 nucleotides) under Marinovum algicola. RNAcentral describes it as "tRNA-Leu". It matches the Rfam family "tRNA". From Rfam's summary of the family: Transfer RNA (tRNA) molecules are approximately 80 nucleotides in length. Lineage: Bacteria; Pseudomonadati; Pseudomonadota; Alphaproteobacteria; Rhodobacterales; Roseobacteraceae. The record is from RNAcentral. RNAcentral also lists the same sequence under 317 other names.